Sorex araneus (European shrew) is the source of this 132-nucleotide small nucleolar RNA. The record is from Ensembl. NCBI's taxonomy places the organism in Eukaryota, Metazoa, Chordata, Mammalia, Eulipotyphla, Soricidae.
GCAUGGGUUUGGGUUGCUGGUAGGUCCGUGCUCCGGGACCCUUCAUAGCGCCCAGGCCAGAGCAGGCUUCGGCCCCACAACAUUGCCUGGCCCUCCCAGGGGACAGCAGGUGCUGAAGCAGGUCACAUAGUA